CGAAAUUUUCAAAGCAGAGUGGGAAGUGGCACUCUUCCUUACACAGAAGACCAACAGCACGGAACUCACUCGCGCCAUCGCCCAGGUCAGACAGCUGCGGAAAGAAUCUUGGUGUGUUACAGUGGUCGUGGCAAGUAAUGACCCAAUCUUCUUAAGCAACUUCGCAAAAUGGUCACUCAAGGGUCGCCUCUUAAUAUGGCCUACAAGACUUCUGCUAGUAACCCAUCUGCCCACAAUCACUAUCAAGGAAUUGUUACAGUCGCACUGGACGUUUUCAAUGAUGAAUACCAUGCUGAUGAAUUAUGAUGAGUCUUUAAUGGGAUGCAGUCUUUAUGCCCACCUUCCUUACACACCUCAAGGAGCACAAGUGGUCCGGCUGGCUUCAUGCAAGAGACUCAACAAUCAUCCGUCUAAGUUUAAUCACAUAAUUUUUCCACAAAAAUAUACAAAGUGAGUAUAUUUGUUUAAUGUGAAUGUGUGUCAUAUUGUUUAUGGGUCACGCAUAGCUGCUUAUCCGUACCGGAUAUAUUUUUAUUUCUUCGCUUUACUUGCGUUUUGUUUCUAUACGGGAUCACUGUUUGGGAUGAGCCUUCUCCAUAUG
Scylla paramamosain (green mud crab) is the source of this 601-nucleotide long non-coding RNA. RefSeq lists it as uncharacterized. The record is from RefSeq and is a predicted model, not a curated record. The transcript is spliced from 3 exons. Lineage: Eukaryota; Metazoa; Arthropoda; Malacostraca; Decapoda; Portunidae.